GACGAACGCUGGCGGCGUGCUUAACACAUGCAAGUCGUACGGUAAGGCCCUUUCGGGGGUACACGCGUGGCGAACGGGUGAGUAACAAGUGCGUAACCUGCCCACCACUUUGGGUUAACGCAAGGAAACUAGUGCUAAUUCUUGAUAUGUACUCCUGCUGCCUGGUGGGGGUUGGUAGGAUCCGGCGGGUGUGGGUGGACUUGCGGCCUGUCAGCUUGUUUGUGGGGUAGUGGCCUACCAAGGCAGCCACGGGUAGCCGGCCUGAGAGGGUGACCGGCCACAUUGGGACUGGGGUACGGCCCAGACCCCUACGGGGGGCAGCAGGUGGGAAUAUUGGACAAAGGGCGCGAGCCUGAAGCAGCAACGCCGCGGGCGGGAUGACGGCCUUCGGGUUGGAAACCGGCUUCAGCAGGGACGAAGCUGUGUGUGACGGUACCGGCAGAAGAAGCACCGGCUAACUACGUG
This 465-nucleotide ribosomal RNA is filed under the name uncultured bacterium. RNAcentral describes it as "partial 16S ribosomal RNA". It matches the Rfam family "Bacterial small subunit ribosomal RNA", at positions 28 to 507 of the family's 1533-position model. The record is from RNAcentral.